Molecule: ribosomal RNA, 468 nt
Filed under: uncultured bacterium
Lineage: Bacteria
Description: partial 16S ribosomal RNA
Rfam family: Bacterial small subunit ribosomal RNA
Source: RNAcentral
GACGAACGCUGGCGGCGUGCUUAACACAUGCAAGUCGAACGGAAAGGCCCUGCUUUUGUGGGGUGCUCGAGUGGCGAACGGGUGAGUAACACGUGAGUAACCUGCCCUUGACUUUGGGAUAACUUCAGGAAACUGGGGCUAAUACCGGAUAGGAGCUCCUGCUGCAUGGUGGGGGUUGGAAAGUUUCGGCGGUUGGGGAUGGACUCGCGGCUUAUCAGCUUGUUGGUGGGGUAGUGGCUUACCAAGGCUUUGACGGGUAGCCGGCCUGAGAGGGUGACCGGACAAAUUGGGAAUGAGAUACGGACCAGACGGCUACGGGAGGCAGCAGUGGGGAAUAUUGCACAAUGGGAGGAAGCCUGAUGCAGCAACGCCGCGUGCGGGAUGACGGCCUUCGGGUUGUAAACCGCUUUCGCCUGUGACGAAGAGUGAGUGACGGUAAUGGGUAAAGAAGCACCGGCUAACUACGUG